UCUUCUAUCUCUCUUCUUUUUCUUGAAAAAUUCUCUCCUCUUUCUUCUUUUUUAUUCUUCUCUCUUCUCUUUCUUCUUUCUUCUUUCUUUCCCCGUCUCUUCUGUCUCUCUUCGUCUUCUUGAAAAAUAGCAACCUGUAAAGUGCUUCUCUCUGCUCUCUUCCCAGAAUCUGAAUCAAACUCGGCCUUGGAUCUCUCUUUUACUUUAAAGGUUGCAGAUCUGAGGUUGCUUCUUCCUUCACCACAAUCACUAUUCCAUCACUAUGUGUGGUAUGGAGACUGGAGAGACCCAUAACCAUGUGGGUCGAAAAGUUCUCAGAAGGAGAAAACAGAAGAAGAAGAAGGGAUCGGUGAUGUACUGGUGACUGGUUUGUGGCCCACUGUCAAACUCGGUCACAAGCCCAACUGUACCGAACCGACCGAUUAAAUCGGUAUACCGGAUUUUGUGGCCGGUAGUGGUAUAGUUUUUUGCAUACCAGUAUAAGUUGGUACGGUACAUGGUAUCGGCCCGUAAGCUUCGGUACUUAACCGAACCCAGCCCUAGCAGCUAGGUUUAUAUUAUGUGACCAGAGAGGUUGGCGUUGUCUCUCCUUGCUUCAUCGCCUUCCAACAGUGUCAUUGAACAUCAUGUGUUGAUUUAUAAAUUUUAAUAUACUUCUCCUCGGACGAGACCAGUGGCGAAGCUACACCAGGGCCUGAGGUGGCCUUGGCAUGUACCCCCCAGUCUAUGCAAUUAUAUGUUAUAUAUUGUAUGAUUACCAUAAGCAGGAAAUAUUUCUUAUUUAUUUGUGCUUA
Long non-coding RNA from Rosa chinensis, 794 nucleotides. RefSeq lists it as uncharacterized. Lineage: Eukaryota; Viridiplantae; Streptophyta; Magnoliopsida; Rosales; Rosaceae. The record is from RefSeq and is a predicted model, not a curated record. The transcript has 2 exons.